This 253-nucleotide ribosomal RNA is filed under the name uncultured bacterium. Its description in RNAcentral is "partial 16S ribosomal RNA". It matches the Rfam family "Bacterial small subunit ribosomal RNA", at positions 524 to 776 of the family's 1533-position model. The record is from RNAcentral.
UACGAAGGGGGCGAGCGUUGUUCGGAUUUACUGGGCGUAAAGGGCGCGCAGGCGGCUCAUUUUGUCAGGCGUGAAAGCCCCGGGCUUAACCUGGGAACUGCGUUUGAUACGGAUGGGCUAGAGUUCGGUAGGGGAGACUGGAAUUCCUGGUGUAGCGGUGAAAUGCGUAGAGAUCAGGAAGAACAUCGGUGGCGAAGGCGCUCUGCUGGACCAUAACUGACACUCAGGGACGAAAGCUAGGGGAGCGAAUGGG